GAGAGUUAGUUAAUUCGGAUUAUGUAAAAAUUCGGUACGAAUAUAAUAUAUAUAAAAUUUAUUUUUUAAUUUUUAAAUUUAUUUAAAAAUUCAGUUUAAAAAACGGAUUCGGUAUAAAAUAUAAAAUAUAAGAUAUAAAAUAUAAAAUAACUUAUAUUUAAAAAUAAAAUUAUAAGUUUUUUAUUCAUAUUUGUAAUAAUUCGCGAAUAAUUCGACUGGUCCAAAAAUUCACGAAUAAUUUUUUUAUUUUUGAAAAAAUUCGUAAACGGACCGUUUAAUUCAAAUUUUUAAUAAUUUAUAAAUAAUUCACGAAUAAUUUGUGAAUUAGUAAAAUUUACUAACUAGGGUGUGGUCACGGGGGAUGACGGACAGUGACCAUUUUGGAGACGUACGCAAGACUGUACCACCCAUAUCUCUCGGCCGGAAUGACUCGCCAUAAAAUAUCUGCCAUCUAAGGCUACGCUACAUUCUAGCUAAUACUAUACAAAUCAUACCUUUUUGGUCCCCACAUGUAUUCGACAACGUUGGUGUACACUGAUCACCAUCCUAAUUAAUCUGAUAAAAAGUGUGGCCAAAUUCAGUUUUUUUUUUUUUUGUUUUUUUUAAAGAUAGAGAGCACGCUAUCCGUUUCAUUUAGAAAUAAAUUUAGUUGAAAAUAUAAAUCAACUAAGAUUCGAACUUGGGAUCUCAGGUACUAACCAUCAAAUCUUUUGCCACUUGUUCUAGAGACGGCUGGUGCCAAAUUCAGUAUUUUCAUAUGGUGUACACUAUGUAAAAAUGGUAGAAAAUUUGAAAACUUAAUUACAAAAAAAAUAAGAAUAAAAAAAAAAUGGUAGAAAAUUUGAAAAGUACUAUG
Molecule: long non-coding RNA, 856 nt
Filed under: Ananas comosus (pineapple)
Lineage: Eukaryota; Viridiplantae; Streptophyta; Magnoliopsida; Poales; Bromeliaceae
Description: long non-coding RNA (ACOM_LNC011549)
Source: RNAcentral